AUUACAUCUUUGGUCCUUUAACUCUAACCUAGUUAAAAAUUUUAGUUAAAUCUAGUCAUAUGCUUUGCCCAUAAGAGCAAAUUCGUCUUUUUACUGUUCUAAUGACUAUUUGUGCAAUAAAUAUCCAUGCCCCCCCUCUCUCUCAAAUCUCUCUCUCUCUCUGUGAAAUGUCUGCAACAACAGAACCAUCCAAAUCUGUCACACAUCACCGCCUACAUCUAGAUCCACCACACCAUCACACCACCUACAUCCAAAUCCACCACACCAUCACACCGCAUCCAUCUAGAUCCGUCGCACCACACCACCAUCUCCAUCCAAAUCGCCACACAACACCUCCGCCUCCAUCUAGAUCUACCACAACCACUGCCACCUCGCAUCAUCAACCGACGAUAAAGGCGUUGGAUCGAAGUUUAAACAAAUCUUCAAAGCGUAUCUCGUUUUCUUCUAUCCGAUAAAACGUCAGAUCUAUGAUUUAUACGGUGAAGAACGUUUGAAAUUCGGAGUUUAUGAUGAAUCUUUGUUGUGAGAUUUAGGUUUGAUCCGAACAAAUCUGAUGCGAGUUUUUGAUGAAUCUGGUGCAGAAUAAUGAAUCAAGUGCAGAAUAAGUAUUCUUCUAAUUUGAGGAUGAAUAUUGGAGGUGCAAAAUAAGAAUAAAAAGAAUAAGUUUUGUUCUAAUUUGAGGACGAAUAUUGGAGGUGCAGAAUAAGAAUAAAAAGGUUUGUUCUAAUUUGAAUCUUAUGCAGAAUAAGUUUUGUUCUAAUUUGAGGUGCCAAAUAUGAAGGUUUGAAAUUGGGAUUUUAUAAUGAAUCAGGUGCAUAAUAAGUUGAACUAGUUUUUAUUA
Molecule: long non-coding RNA, 841 nt
Organism: Helianthus annuus (common sunflower)
Lineage: Eukaryota; Viridiplantae; Streptophyta; Magnoliopsida; Asterales; Asteraceae
Exons: 2
Source: RefSeq, a predicted model, not a curated record